GUAUUAGUUAUGUUCUUGAAACCCAAAGAAUUUGGCGGUAUUCCAUUCUUUUUAGAGGAACCUGUCCCGUGAUCGACAUUCCACGAUGGGAUUUACUUGCUUUUGUUAAUUCAGUUUGUAUACCUCCGUCAUCAGAGUAUCUUUUUAGAGUUAAAUAUUCUAUUUACACGGAAUGUGUUAUGUCAGGUCAAGGUGCAAUUUAUGAGUAAGUGGAGAUGGGUUACAAUAAUAUUAAUUAAUAUGGAUUAGACUAAUUAACUGGUCUAUAAAGGUGGAUUUAACAGUAAAAUUGAUUUCUUAUCAUUUUGAUUUUAGCUCUGGGAUAUGCACACAUCGCCCG
Molecule: ribosomal RNA, 340 nt
Filed under: Hesperocordulia berthoudi
Lineage: Eukaryota; Metazoa; Arthropoda; Insecta; Odonata; Corduliidae
Description: partial 12S ribosomal RNA
Rfam family: Microsporidia small subunit ribosomal RNA
Source: RNAcentral